AUAGAUUCAACUUGCAAAAACAAUUCUCUUUGUGACAUCAAAACUGAAUUUUCACAAGUUUGCGCUACUAACAUUCAAACAUUUUUAAUAAAUCAAAAAUACAUGAUUUUUACUUGAAAUUUUUAGGAGACCUCCCUGAACUCCUUGAACAGCUACAAAAUAAGUUUUGGCUUAAAAAUCAAAGUUUAAGUAAUUUAAGUAUAAUUUAGAAAGUUAAAAAGCGAAGCAGUUUUGUACUCUGCACAUACUAUACCAAAAUAAUCAUAACUAAUAGCUCGUUAACUCAAAUAACACAAGGUUUUCGCGUGGACAAACUAGACUCCGAGUAGAACAUUCCCAUCCUAUACCCACUAUACAAAAUAAGGGACAAGCAGUCACGAUAUACCAUAACAGAACAGGACAGUGCAGAUUCCAGUUCAUAUCAAUUUCACUACUAAACAACUCAUAUAACUGCAUAAAAUUGUAUAUAUAACUGAUUUAAAUCAACACUAACAAUUCACAAAACCCCAACACAACACAAACGAGUUAUACGCAUAUACAUACAUGGGGACCCUACAUACAUACAUACAUAACUAAUAGAGGAGACAAUUCGAGAUAUACCCAAUCAGAAUAAUCAAAGAAAGGGUGGACUGCUGGCCAGAAAACGGAGUUAAUUGGCCGAAGAAUUGAAGGACAACUACUGGCUUCGAGCAGAGUAAAAACGGAGGACAUAGCAGCGGUGGUGGAGAUUGGCAGCGGCUGGAAAUCACGGCGAAGUCUGGAGGCAGUGAAUUUAAAGGUGAAAGAUGGAAACGGAAAGGUGUGUAGGGAUGUAGCGAUCGUCUCGGUGGAGUUGAGGGAGAGAGGCGGUGAGGUCGAGAGAUUAACAGAGGGGUUGAUACGUGGCACAAAACAAGAAAAAGGGUGUGAGCACCUGUUAUUAUCACAAUUAGCCCACUAUAGUUCAAUUGCUCACUAAUCACUUAUAUUAUAUCCUUU
RNAcentral lists this long non-coding RNA (978 nucleotides) under Daucus carota (carrot). Its description in RNAcentral is "long non-coding RNA (DCAR_LNC001457)". Lineage: Eukaryota; Viridiplantae; Streptophyta; Magnoliopsida; Apiales; Apiaceae. The record is from RNAcentral.